Molecule: ribosomal RNA, 468 nt
Filed under: uncultured bacterium
Lineage: Bacteria
Description: partial 16S ribosomal RNA
Rfam family: Bacterial small subunit ribosomal RNA
Source: RNAcentral
GACGAACGCUGGCGGCGUGCUUAACACAUGCAAGUCGAACGGAAAGGCCCUGCUUUUGUGGGGUGCUCGAGUGGCGAACGGGUGAGUAACACGUGAGUAACCUGCCCUUGCCUUUGGGAUAACUUCAGGAAACUGGGGCUCAUACCGGAUAGGAGCUCCUGCUGCAUGGUGGGGGUUGGAAAGUUUCGGCGGUUGGGGAUGGACUCGCGGCUUAUCAGCUUGUUGGUGGGGUAGUGGCUUACCAAGGCUUUGACGGGUAGCCGGCCUGGGAGGGUGACCGGCCACAUUGGGACUGGGAUACGGCACAGACUCCUACGGUAGGCAGCGGUGGGGAAGAUUGCACAAUGGGCUGAAGCCUGAUGCAGCAACGCCGCGUGCGGGAUGACAGCCUUCGGGUUGUAAACCGCUGUCGCCUGUGACGAAGCGUUAGUGACGGUAAUGGGUAAAGAAGCACCGGCUAACUACGUG